RNAcentral lists this unclassified non-coding RNA (344 nucleotides) under uncultured Mortierella. Its description in RNAcentral is "sequence contains 5.8S rRNA gene". The stretch from base 1 to 53 matches the Rfam family "5.8S ribosomal RNA", at positions 102 to 154 of the family's 154-position model. The record is from RNAcentral. Lineage: Eukaryota; Fungi; Mortierellomycota; Mortierellomycetes; Mortierellales; Mortierellaceae.
GAACGCAUAUUGCGCUCUUUGGUAUUCCGAAGAGCAUGCUUGUUUGAGUAUCAGUAAACACCUCAAAGCUUUUGAUUUUUUUUAAAAGUUUUGGACUUGAGCAAUCCCAACACCAAUCUUUUUCAGAUCGGCGGCGGGUUGCUUGAAAUGCAGGUGCAGCUGGACAUUCUCCUGAGCUAAAAGCAUAUUUAUUUAGUCCCGUCAAACGGAUUAUUACUUUUGCUGCAGCUAAUAUAAAGGGAGUUUGACCGUAUUGGCUGACUGAUGCAGGAUUUCACAAGGGUCGGCAACGAUUCUUGUAAAACUCGAUCUCAAAUCAAGUAAGACUACCCGCUGAACUUAAG